RNAcentral lists this microRNA precursor (78 nucleotides) under Trichobilharzia regenti. RNAcentral's name for it is "mir-3492 microRNA precursor family". It matches the Rfam family "mir-3492 microRNA precursor family". Lineage: Eukaryota; Metazoa; Platyhelminthes; Trematoda; Strigeidida; Schistosomatidae. The record is from Rfam by way of RNAcentral.
UACCUUUGGUAUACGUGCUGAGAUCUCGUCAACAAUCAGGUCAAUAAGGCUGAUGGGACUUCCCAGAUAAAUGGAGUG